CUACGUGCCAGCAGCCGCGGUAAUACGUAGGUGGCAAGCGUUGUCCGGAAUUAUUGGGCGUAAAGCGCGCGCAGGCGGAUCUGCCAGUCUGUCUUAAAAGUUCGGGGCUUAACCCCGUGAUGGGAUGGAAACUGCCAAUCUAGAGUAUCGGAGAGGAAAGCGGAAUUCCCAGUGUAGCGGUGAAAUGCGUAGAUAUUGGGAGGAACACCAGUGGCGAAGGCGGCUUUCUGGACUGUAACUGACGCUGAGGCUCGAAAGCCAGGGGAGCGAACGGGAUUAGAUACCCCGGUAGUCCUGGCCGUAAACGAUGGGUACUAGGUGUAGGAGGUAUCGACCCCUUCUGUGCCGGAGUUAACGCAAUAAGUACCCCGCCUGGGGAGUACGACCGCAAGGUUGAAACUCAAAGGAAUUGACGGGGGCCCGCACAAGCGGUGGAGUAUGUGGUUUAAUUCGACGCAACGCGAAGAACCUUACCAGGUCUUGACAU
Molecule: ribosomal RNA, 487 nt
Filed under: uncultured bacterium
Lineage: Bacteria
Description: bacterial SSU rRNA
Rfam family: Bacterial small subunit ribosomal RNA
Source: RNAcentral